This 406-nucleotide ribosomal RNA is filed under the name uncultured microorganism. RNAcentral describes it as "bacterial SSU rRNA". It matches the Rfam family "Archaeal small subunit ribosomal RNA", at positions 330 to 735 of the family's 1478-position model. The record is from RNAcentral.
GCGCACCAGGCGAGAAACCUCCGCAAUGCGGGCAACCGCGACGGGGGACCCCACGUGCCGUGGCAUCGCCACGGCUUUUCCGGAGUGUAAAAAGCUCCGGGAAUAAGGGCUGGGCAAGGCCGGUGGCAGCCGCCGCGGUAAUACCGGCGGCCCGAGUGGUGGCCGCUAUUAUUGGGCCUAAAGCGUCCGUAGCCGGGCCUGUAAGUCCCUGGCGAAAUCCCACGGCUCAACCGUGGGGCUUGCUGGGGAUACUGCAGGCCUUGGGACCGGGAGAGGCCGGGGGUACCCCUGGGGUAGGGGUGAAAUCCUAUAAUCCCAGGGGGACCGCCAGUGGCGAAGGCGCCCGGCUGGAACGGGUCCGACGGUGAGGGACGAAGGCCCAGGGGGAGCGAACCGGGAUUAGAUA